CCAGUGUUCAUGCUUUGGCUUCAUCUGGUGAUGAGUUUCUUGACAAAUUAAUUGAUUUUUCAUGGGAUGGGUCACUUACAGACCUUGGCAAACCAGAAGACUCUGAAGAAUCUAUGGCAGAAAAUAUGAAAAUACAUAUAUUAAAAUUCAUUAUCAAAUAGAACUAACAUCGAUGAGGUUUUAAAUGAAAUUAUAUACCUUGACAGCCAUUGAAGGAUCUCUUGCAAUGUAGGAUGGCGCUUUGGAUUCCAUCUUGCUGUUGCAAUAGAGAAUCAUCUCUCCUCUUAGACAAAGUUGGCGCCGGAGGGGAAGCCGCCACGGCGGAGGAAGCCGAUCUACUCUUUCCC
Molecule: long non-coding RNA, 347 nt
Filed under: Gossypium barbadense (sea-island cotton)
Lineage: Eukaryota; Viridiplantae; Streptophyta; Magnoliopsida; Malvales; Malvaceae
Description: long non-coding RNA (GBAR_LNC022045)
Source: RNAcentral